This 450-nucleotide ribosomal RNA is filed under the name uncultured bacterium. RNAcentral's name for it is "bacterial SSU rRNA". It matches the Rfam family "Bacterial small subunit ribosomal RNA", at positions 64 to 507 of the family's 1533-position model. The record is from RNAcentral.
GAACGGUAACGUGGGGGCAACCCGGGCGGCGAGCGGCGAACGGGUGAGUAAUGCAUCGGAACGCGUCCUCCUGUGGGGGAUAACCAGUCGAAAGACUGGCUAAUACCGCAUGAGCUCGAGAGAGGAAAGCGGGGGAUCCGCGAGGACCUCGCGCGAGAGGAGCGGCCGAUGUCCGAUUAGCUAGUUGGUAGGGUAACGGCCUACCAAGGCGACGAUCCGUAGCUGGUCUGAGAGGACGAUCAGCCACACUGGAACUGAGGCACGGUCCAGACUCCUACGGGAGGCAGCAGUGGGGAAUUUUGGACAAUGGGCGCAAGCCUGAUCCAGCCAUGCCGCGUGAGCGAAGAAGGCCUUCGGGUUGUAAAGCUCUUUCGGCGGGGACGAAACGGUCUGUGCUAAUACCACGGACUAAUGACGGUACCCGCAGAAGAAGCACCGGCUAACUACGUG